RNAcentral lists this ribosomal RNA (464 nucleotides) under uncultured bacterium. Its description in RNAcentral is "partial 16S ribosomal RNA". It matches the Rfam family "Bacterial small subunit ribosomal RNA", at positions 338 to 795 of the family's 1533-position model. The record is from RNAcentral.
CCUACGGGAGGCAGCAGUAGGGAAUUUUCGUCAAUGGGCGCAAGCCUGAACGAGCAAUGCCGCGUGAACGAGGAAGGUCUUCGGAUCGUAAAGUUCUGUUGAAGGGGAAAAAGAGCGGAGAGAGGAAAUGAACUCCGAUUGAUAUUACCCUUCGAGGAAGUCACGGCUAACUACGUGCCAGCAGCCGCGGUAAUACGUAGGUGGCGAGCGUUAACCGGAAUGAUUGGGCGUAAAGGGUGCGUUGGCGGCAUGCUAAGUCUGGAGUGAAAGGUACGGGCUCAACCGGUAUAGGCUCUGGAAACUGGCGGGCUAGAGAGCAGGAGAGGGCGGUGGAACUCCAUGUGUAGCGGUAAAAUGCGUAGAUAUAUGGAAGAACACCAGUGGCGAAGGCGGCCGCCUGGCCUGUUACUGACGCUGAGGCACGAAAGCGUGGGGAGCAAAUAGGAUUAGAUACCCGGGUAGUC